GAUGAACGCUGGCGGCGUGCCUAAUACAUGCAAGUCGAGCGAACAGACGCGGAGCUUGCUCCUCUGACGUUAGCGGCGGACGGGUGAGUAACACGUGGAUAACCUACCUAUAAGACUGGGAUAACUUCGGGAAACCGGAGCUAAUACCGGAUAAUAUAUUGAACCGCAUGGUUCAAUAGUGAAAGACGGUUUUGCUGUCACUUAUAGAUGGAUCCGCGCCGCAUUAGCUAGUUGGUAAGGUAACGGCUUACCAAGGCAACGAUGCGUAGCCGACCUGAGAGGGUGAUCGGCCACACUGGAACUGAGACACGGUCCAGACUCCUACGGGAGGCAGCAGUAGGGAAUCUGCCGCAAAGGGCGAAAGCCUGACGGAGCAACGCCGCGUGAGUGAUGAAGGUAUUCGGAUCGUAAAACUCUGUUAUUAGGGAAGAACAAAUGUGUAAGUAACUAUGCACGUCUUGACGGUACCUAAUCAGAAAGCCACGGCUAACUACGUG
Molecule: ribosomal RNA, 497 nt
Filed under: uncultured bacterium
Lineage: Bacteria
Description: partial 16S ribosomal RNA
Rfam family: Bacterial small subunit ribosomal RNA
Source: RNAcentral